UGGGGAAUUUUGCACAAUGGGGGAAACCCUGAUGCAGCGACGCCGCGUGAUUUAGAAGGCCUUCGGGUUGUAAAAAUCUUUUCUAUGGGAAGAAAAUGACAGUACCAUAGGAAUAAGGACCGGCUAAUUACGUGCCAGCAGCCGCGGUAAUACGUAAGGUCCGAGCGUUGCCCGGAAUCAUUGGGCGUAAAGGGUACGUAGGCGGGUAAGCAAGUUAGAAGUGAAAUCCUAUAGCUCAACUAUAGUAAGCUUUUAAAACUGCUCAUCUUGAGGUAUGGAAGGGAAAGUGGAAUUCCUCGUGUAGCGGUGAAAUGCGCAGAUAUUAGGAGGAAUACCGGUGGCGAAGGCGACUUUCUGGCCAUAACCUGACGCUGAGGUACGAAAGCGUGGGUAGCAAACAGG
This 402-nucleotide ribosomal RNA is filed under the name bacterium. RNAcentral's name for it is "partial 16S ribosomal RNA". It matches the Rfam family "Bacterial small subunit ribosomal RNA", at positions 355 to 776 of the family's 1533-position model. The record is from RNAcentral.